AUGCUUCUUCGCAGUCGAGUGGCACUUUGUAGACCGUGUGGCAAGACAAUUUGGAAGAGACAAGGUAUUCCAAUUGAGGAGAGCAAGGAGAAAAUGCUAUCUCUGCAUCGGUUCGAUCAAAGGAACAAUCAGGAUAUAUCGGAUUGGGCAAACAAACACCGUGCGUGGAUAGAAAUUUGGAAUCAAAGAGACACGUUAGUGCAAUCAGAGAAUAGACCUCACAAUCAGUCAGCAUAUCAGAAGUAUCAAGUGUGGUAUGCGGAUCAUUACCGGUUGAAGCUGAAGCCUGGUUGGACUCAUGAGGAGUGGUCGGAGUUGGUGUCUGAAGACCCGGAGAUUGCACAAGGUUAUCAAACCUUCAACACGGCUGUGAGAGACACCAGAGGGGCUCACGUUGACUAUGCACCGAUGCAUGAUGAAAUGGGCAGAGAGUUGCUUCUGUGCGUCAACGAUGCCAAUGUUGCACCGAGUCAUCCACCUGGUGGUGCAUUAUCUGAGAGGACUCUUAGGAGCACGAUGGAGAAGUUCAAGAAGCGGUUCUAUAAGAUGGCAGUUAUGCUUUCUUGCCAUGGUGCUCAGUCCAGUGACGUGUAUGCACCUGGUAGCCGCGCCGCCAGAGCUAAUAAACGGCAUUAUGUCCAGAAUGAAGAGGACAUAGAGGAGGAGGUCAAUGAAGAGGAGCCAGCACAUCAAGAGGAGCCAACACAUCAUGAUGAGCAUGAGUAUGAUGCAACACAUCAAGAGGAUCAUGAGUAUGAUGUUGAUGCUCCACAACCAUCACAGGUUACACAACUGACACAAGGCAAUGCCCGCUCUAAAAAAAGGCAAAGCAAUAGCUAA
RNAcentral lists this ribosomal RNA (840 nucleotides) under Triticum aestivum (bread wheat). RNAcentral describes it as "partial small subunit ribosomal RNA". The record is from RNAcentral. Lineage: Eukaryota; Viridiplantae; Streptophyta; Magnoliopsida; Poales; Poaceae.